RNAcentral lists this non-coding RNA (31 nucleotides) under Mus musculus (house mouse). The record is from RNAcentral. Lineage: Eukaryota; Metazoa; Chordata; Mammalia; Rodentia; Muridae.
UGGGAUUAAAGGCGUGCACCACCACGCCCGG